CGCACACUCACCGCCCGCCACCCCCUCUCUCAUGGCCCCCUUCAUCAUCGGAGCAUCCGGAGAAAUUUUUCUGUCAAUUGAUGGACUACGAAAGCUCGUCUGCUAAUUUACCAUAUGCCCACCCUUCUCAAUGAGAUUUGGAACCCCAACCCCAAUCUCAAAUGCCCACUCUUCUCUUUGAAAGGACUGAUGCCUCACUCUUUGCUGUUUCUUCCACUUCUAUUUUAUUAGUGGAAUGGGCAUAUUGACGUGUAGGUGAAGCCUACAACUUGAAUUCAUAUACUGAGUCCAUGUACCCGAGUCCAUGUACUUGAAUUCAUUUACAGAAUCCAUGUACUUGAAUGUUGCCGAUGCUUCAAAGUUAUCAUCAGGGUGGAGUAGAUAUGCCGAAUUCACCUUGACUAUCGUUAAUCAAUUUAACAGUGACAAGUCGAUAACAAUAGACACUCAGCAUCAAUUCAGUGCAAAAAUAAGUGAUUGUGGCAUCAUUCAUUAAUUUCAGGGGAUUAGGGAAAAUAGAUAAAGCUUUUGUUCCACUGCUGGAAGAAGUCUGUUUGUGGCAUCCUUCGUUGAUUAGCUGCCAAAGGAAAAGAAGUCG
Rosa chinensis is the source of this 598-nucleotide long non-coding RNA. RefSeq lists it as uncharacterized. NCBI's taxonomy places the organism in Eukaryota, Viridiplantae, Streptophyta, Magnoliopsida, Rosales, Rosaceae. The transcript is spliced from 3 exons. The record is from RefSeq and is a predicted model, not a curated record.